GGUGGAUUCAUCUAAUGGCUAGGAUACAUGCCUCUCACUCAUGACAUAGGGGUUCGAAUCCCCUAUCCACUA
This 72-nucleotide transfer RNA is filed under the name Rikenellaceae bacterium. RNAcentral's name for it is "tRNA-Glu". It matches the Rfam family "tRNA". From Rfam's summary of the family: Transfer RNA (tRNA) molecules are approximately 80 nucleotides in length. The record is from RNAcentral. Lineage: Bacteria; Pseudomonadati; Bacteroidota; Bacteroidia; Bacteroidales; Rikenellaceae.